GACCCGUUAGCUCAGUUGUUAGAGCAAUUCCCUUUUAAGGAAUGGGCCGUUGGUUCGAAUCCAACACGGGUCACCA
RNAcentral lists this transfer RNA (76 nucleotides) under Helicobacter sp. RNAcentral describes it as "tRNA-Lys". It matches the Rfam family "tRNA". From Rfam's summary of the family: Transfer RNA (tRNA) molecules are approximately 80 nucleotides in length. Their secondary structure includes four short double-helical elements and three loops (D, anti-codon, and T loops). Further hydrogen bonds mediate the characteristic L-shaped molecular structure. tRNAs have two regions of fundamental functional importance: the anti-codon, which is responsible for specific mRNA codon recognition, and the 3' end, to which the tRNAs corresponding amino acid is attached (by aminoacyl-tRNA synthetases). tRNAs cope with the degeneracy of the genetic code in two manners: having more than one tRNA (with a specific anti-codon) for a particular amino acid; and 'wobble' base-pairing, i.e. permitting non-standard base-pairing at the 3rd anti-codon position. Lineage: Bacteria; Pseudomonadati; Campylobacterota; Epsilonproteobacteria; Campylobacterales; Helicobacteraceae. The record is from RNAcentral.